CUACGGGUGGCUGCAGCCGAGAAUAUUGGACAAUGGGCGAAAGCCUGAUCCAGCGACAUUGCGUGGAGGAUGAAGACGUUCGCGCCGUAAACUCCUUUUAUAGGGGAAGAAGUCAUUGACGGUACCCUAUGAAUAAGCGGGGGCUAAUUCUGUGCCAGCAGCAGCGGUAAUACAGAACCCGCGAGCGUUAUCCGGAUUUAUUGGGCGUAAAGUGUUCGGAGGCGGUUUGGAAAGUCUGAUAUUAAAUACCCGGGCUCAACCCGGGACGUGUAUCGGAUACUUCCAUGACUUGAAGAUGUUAGGGGCUAUCGGAACGCACGGUGUAGGGGUGAAAUCCGUUGAUAUCGUGCGGAACACCAAAAGCGAAGGCGGAUAGCUGGGGCAUUCUUGACGCUGAGGAACGAAAGCGUGGGUAGCGAAAAGGAUUAGAUACCCUCGUAGUC
Molecule: ribosomal RNA, 443 nt
Filed under: uncultured bacterium
Lineage: Bacteria
Description: partial 16S ribosomal RNA
Rfam family: Bacterial small subunit ribosomal RNA
Source: RNAcentral